This 238-nucleotide ribosomal RNA is filed under the name uncultured bacterium. RNAcentral describes it as "partial 16S ribosomal RNA". It matches the Rfam family "Bacterial small subunit ribosomal RNA", at positions 96 to 334 of the family's 1533-position model. The record is from RNAcentral.
CGGCGGACGGGUGAGUAACGCGUGGGUAACCUACCCUGUACACACGGAUAACAUACCGAAAGGUACGCUAAUACGGGAUAAUAUAUUUGAGAGGCAUCUCUUGAAUAUCAAAGGUGAGCCAGUACAGGAUGGACCCGCGUCUGAUUAGCUAGUUGGUAAGGUAACGGCUUACCAAGGCGACGAUCAGUAGCCGACCUGAGAGGGUGAUCGGCCACAUUGGAACUGAGACACGGUCCAA